This 544-nucleotide unclassified non-coding RNA is filed under the name plant metagenome. Its description in RNAcentral is "partial contains 5.8S ribosomal RNA, internal transcribed spacer 2, and large subunit ribosomal RNA". The stretch from base 1 to 105 matches the Rfam family "5.8S ribosomal RNA", at positions 50 to 154 of the family's 154-position model. The record is from RNAcentral.
AAAUCGUGAUAAUUCAUGUGAAUUGCAGAACUCUGUGAAUCAUCGAGACUUUGAACGCAAAUAGCACCAAAGGGUUUACUCUUUGGUAUAUCUGUUCGAGUGUCAGUAAUAUAUAUAUCAAUAAAUAAACCCUUUUAUUGAUUACCACCGGGACCGUAUAAUAAUUAUAUACUCUCCUUAGAUAUAUUACGGCCUACGUAUAUAUUGGAGUCGUAAAAUAGCGGUAUCUCGUUGUUUACCAUCGAAUAUAACCUGAAUGUCUAAAGAGCAUAAUAAUGUUAUAUCUUCGAUGCCAUAAACCACCGAAGGGACGAUUAGCGAGGUCGAGAAACUAGACCCUAAACCUAACUCCCUGCCGAAACCUGAUCUCGGGACACCUAACCUUAAAGCAGACUGGUAUCAUCCAGAGAUCUGAUUAUGCGACAAAUAAACAACGUACCGAUAAAUUACGUAACUUCAUAUAUCGAAUGGACCACGAUAUAAUGCUCCAUAAUAUAAUCAACAAUGACCUCGAAUCAGAUAAGGUUACCCGCUGAACUUAAGC